This 463-nucleotide ribosomal RNA is filed under the name uncultured bacterium. RNAcentral's name for it is "bacterial SSU rRNA". It matches the Rfam family "Bacterial small subunit ribosomal RNA", at positions 28 to 524 of the family's 1533-position model. The record is from RNAcentral.
GAUGAACGCUGGCGGCGUGCCUAAUACAUGCAAGUCGAGCGGAAAGGCCUCUUCGGAGGUACUCGAGCGGCGGACGGCAGAGUAACGCGUAGGAACAUACCCCAAACUGAGGGAUAACUGCCCGAAAGGGUGGCUAAUACCGCAUGUGAUCUUCGGAUUAAAGCUUCGGCGGUUUGGGAAUGGCCUGCGUUCGAUUAGCUAGUUGGUGAGGUAAAGGCUCACCAAGGCGACGAUCGAUAACUGGUCUGAGAGGAUGAUCAGUCUGACUGGAACUGAGACACGGUCCAGACUCCUACGGGAGGCAGCAGUAGGGAAUUUUCCACAAUGGGCGAAAGCCUGAUGGAGCAACGCCGCGUGCAGGAUGAAGGCCCUUGGGUCGUAAACUGGCUUUUAAUGUGAGAAGAAUAUGACGGUAACGCAUGAAUAAAGGGUCGGCUAACUACGUGCCAGCAGCCGCGGUAAU